RNAcentral lists this ribosomal RNA (433 nucleotides) under uncultured bacterium. RNAcentral's name for it is "partial 16S ribosomal RNA". It matches the Rfam family "Bacterial small subunit ribosomal RNA", at positions 29 to 507 of the family's 1533-position model. The record is from RNAcentral.
AACGAACGCUGGCGGCAUGCCUAACACAUGCAAGUCGAACGAGACCUUCGGGUCUAGUGGCGCACGGGUGCGUAACGCGUGGGAACCUGCCCUUAGGUUCGGAAUAACUCCCCGAAAGGGGUGCUAAUACCGGAUAAUGUCCUCGGACCAAAGAUUUAUCGCCUUUGGAUGGGCCCGCGUUGGAUUAGCUUGUUGGUAGGGUAAAAGCCUACCAAGGCGACGAUCCAUAGCUGGUCUGAGAGGAUGAUCAGCCACACUGGGACUGAGACACGGCCCAGACUCCUACGGGAGGCAGCAGUGGGGAAUAUUGGAAAAUGGGCGAAAGCCUGAUCCAGCAAUGCCGCGUGAGUGAUGAAGGCCUUAGGGUUGUAAAGCUCUUUUACCCGGGAUGAUAAUGACAGUACCGGGAGAAUAAGCUCCGGCUAACUCCGUG